Molecule: long non-coding RNA, 1463 nt
Organism: Mercurialis annua (annual mercury)
Lineage: Eukaryota; Viridiplantae; Streptophyta; Magnoliopsida; Malpighiales; Euphorbiaceae
Exons: 5
Source: RefSeq, a predicted model, not a curated record
UCAUGAUGAGCAAAAUAGUAAGCCAUGGAAAUAAUUGGCUAGAAAGAGGGAAGACUAGAGAAUUAGCAAUGGAAGUGUCAAUUUUUACCUAUUUAAAUUAUGAAAUUAGUUUAAUUAUUCAGCUAAUAGAUAAUUAAAAAAUAUCGAAUCAUAUUAUAUGGUUAAACACAUUUUUUUUGUCUUCAUAAAAUUUUAGAAAACUGACUGCCUCACAUUUGUUUUCUGUAUUUACUUAUAUGUGAAUUUGUUUGAACACCUAAUUUUUUUUACUCAUUUGAUCUUUUAGUUACAUUUGAUAGUCCUGAAGGUAUCAAUUUCAGUUCUUUUCAUGAUUUUUAAUCUGCAGCAUUAGCUAUAUGUAUGUAUAUUGUUCCUUUUUUAUUUGUUUACUUUUUUAACUAUCUAUCUAGACUUAUGUACUAACAGCCAAUUCACUUCUUAUGCAUGAUUAAUUUAGAGAUGCUUUCUGUGCAUUUGUUUCAGGAAACUUUACAGGAGAUGGACUCACAGAUUCUUUGCAAGGGUUGCCAAGCACUGAGGUCUAUCAGAUUUAAGGUAUUUAAUAAAUGAAACUGCGAUUGUCAGAGUUAUCAAGUUAGUUGCGGAGAGUAUUGCAGUAGCAUCACCCUUUGGACUUUUUCUCUAAUGUGAAAGACAAUCUUUUGUAACUUGCCGGUGGAGAAGUUUCUCUACCAUUUUUGCAAGGUUAGUCAUCUAGUUUUCCAUUUUCUUUGUGAUUUGUAAUGUCAAGUGUCUCUGUGUCCUUGACUAACUACCCACAGGGCGGCUAAUUUUACAGAAUUCAAUUGGGUCACUGGUAUGUUCUUAAUCUGAUCUAUUAAACAUGUGGUAUUGAAAUGAACUGUCAUUAUACUUUUUGUCAUAUUUUUACCAUGAUUGCCAAAUUUGUUAUUUUUUUAUCAAUUGAUAAGAAGUUGAUCAUAACAAGGAUACUUUCUAUUGUAAAAUCAUAUGGUUCUUCUCAUGUAUGAUAGUAAAAAUGCAGUUUACACCAUAUCAUUAAUAGAGUUUGGAAUUCUCCGGGUCAUUAAAUAUUUUAUUGCAUGGCAGUAGACCACAAUGCCCUCUGGUUUUUUAUGUGGAAGGACAUUAUUGUCAUGUAGGAUUUUGAUGCAACCUGCAUCACUUGGCGACUUGGCGUGUUUAAUACAAAACACGGGUUUAGCUAUUUGUACUGUUGGAGUGGACAUAUCUCAUAGCUAAUGUGAUUUUUUGAUGAGUUCCCAUUUUAAGCAAGAUUGAGCUUCAAAACAGUGGAAGUGAUGCCUUUUCCACUGUUAUAGGUGAGAGGGUCCCGGUCGUGCACUUGUUUAUGGAAGAGGGGUUACGAGAAGCAAACAGAGAAGGAAGCAGUUCUUCAAUAAUUUUGAUGGAAUAUUUUCCGUUUUCUAAUUUUAGUGAAUAUUUUUUGUUUGUGAUGUAAUGAAUGAAAUAUUUUUGUG